CGCUUCUUUUUCCACCGGAGCUUGCUCCACCGGAAAAAGAGGAGUGGCGAACGGGUGAGUAACACGUGGGUAACCUGCCCAUCAGAAGGGGAUAACACUUGGAAACAGGUGCUAAUACCGUAUAACAAUCAAAACCGCAUGGUUUUGAUUUGAAAGGCGCUUUCGGGUGUCGCUGAUGGAUGGACCCGCGGUGCAUUAGCUAGUUGGUGAGGUAACGGCUCACCAAGGCCACGAUGCAUAGCCGACCUGAGAGGGUGAUCGGCCACAUUGGGACUGAGACACGGCCCAAACUCCUACGGGAGGCAGCAGUAGGGAAUCUUCGGCAAUGGACGAAAGUCUGACCGAGCAACGCCGCGUGAGUGAAGAAGGUUUUCGGAUCGUAAAACUCUGUUGUUAGAGAAGAACAAGGAUGAGAGUAACUGUUCAUCCCUUGACGGUAUCUAACCAGAAAGCCACGGCUAACUACGUGCCAGCAGCCGCGGUAAUACGUAGGUGGCAAGCGUUGUCCGGAUUUAUUGGGCGUAAAGCGAGCGCAGGCGGUUUCUUAAGUCUGAUGUGAAAGCCCCCGGCUCAACCGGGGAGGGUCAUUGGAAACUGGGAGACUUGAGUGCAGAAGAGGAGAGUGGAAUUCCAUGUGUAGCGGUGAAAUGCGUAGAUAUAUGGAGGAACACCAGUGGCGAAGGCGGCUCUCUGGUCUGUAACUGACGCUGAGGCUCGAAAGCGUGGGGAGCAAACAGGAUUAGAUACCCUGGUAGUCCACGCCGU
Molecule: ribosomal RNA, 765 nt
Filed under: Enterococcus faecium
Lineage: Bacteria; Bacillati; Bacillota; Bacilli; Lactobacillales; Enterococcaceae
Description: bacterial SSU rRNA
Rfam family: Bacterial small subunit ribosomal RNA
Source: RNAcentral